Molecule: long non-coding RNA, 614 nt
Organism: Ipomoea triloba (trilobed morning glory)
Lineage: Eukaryota; Viridiplantae; Streptophyta; Magnoliopsida; Solanales; Convolvulaceae
Exons: 2
Source: RefSeq, a predicted model, not a curated record
GGUAAAUUUUCGACUCUUCGUUUUCUUCUUGGUUUUGGAGAGCACUUCCGUUGGCUGAGUUCGUCCGUCCCUUCGACGGUGUUCGGCAAUUUUCUCGGCUGUUGAGCGUGGCGGAUAUACCGGCGCAUCAAUGGCAGAUGGUGGCGAGUCUUGGCUUCGAUUAGAGAGGUUUGCUAGGGUGGCUGAUCGAGCAAAAUGACACAGUGGUGCACUUGACAUGGGGUGUUCGUCUCAUAUUUCUAAUGAGGAUGACGAUUUUGUCGAUGGGCCGGGAGAUCCUAUGUGCGAUGCUCCAGAUAUUGAUUUAACUGCAAAGGAACUGGAAAGGUCUCCUUUGUUUACCACCAAAGAUUGUUGGUUUUGUGCACUGUAUUGACAUCACCAUUUUGAUUUUGUUGUUGUUUCCCAUGGCAGUCCCUAGAAGUUGAUCAAUUAUAGGUUCUUUUUUUGUCAUUGUUGUUUUACCAUAUUAAUCAUUUAAUUGUGUUUGGUUUACAUUUCGUGGACACGAGUUUGCACUUUGCACUGUAUGACACACGUUAUAUACUAUUAUGGUACAUGUUAUAAACUGGUGUGGCACAAGUUUUAAAUUGUUAUAUGUAACUUAUUAUAAA